RNAcentral lists this long non-coding RNA (781 nucleotides) under Olea europaea subsp. europaea. Lineage: Eukaryota; Viridiplantae; Streptophyta; Magnoliopsida; Lamiales; Oleaceae. The record is from RNAcentral.
GCAAAGUUCAGUGACUAAGGGGUAAUUAACCGCUCGAAAUCACAUAAAGAAGAUCCUACUUCGGAUAAUGAGGAAAUCUAAGCCUGCAGAAAGGAACAAUAUAGUGCAGCCACAAAUAGUUUACUCAUUUGGCGAUCAUUAUGACUUCAGAAAGAAGCUUAAAAUAUUGAACCUUCUUACUGGGUAUCUAGUGUUCUCACUAUUUUUCUUCUCUAUUCUUAAAAUUUAUUCAACAUUCCGCCAUGAAUGGCCAAAUCAAGUUAAUUGGAGCACAACAAGCAUUGAUGAUCUGAAGAUAUAUUUAUUUGAUCAACAAACUUGGUAGAAUUCGGUAGCAAGGUUCUGGAUUUGCAACACCAGCUGAGUUGUCAUCACUUCUAUCCUGUACUUCAUUUCUGUUGGAAGAGAAAUAAGGAAUAAAAAUAUUGCUUUGCAUGAGCAUAAUCAAAGAUUGAGCAGAAUAAACUUGUGAUUACCGUCUGGUAAUUACCAUGUUUCCAAUCCUGUUUUGAGCUUUAGUAUCAUUCAUCAGUUUCUCGACUUCCAGAAGGGACGAUGGAACUGCUUUUGCAGGUCUCCGCUCAAUGGAAUUUUACAUUUUAAUUGUUAUCUUUGCAAUGGAGUAGAUUCUCUUAUGAAACACGAUUAAUUUCUUCUUUAUUUUUUUACUUACCCUGGUAUGUCAUAAAGGGAAAUUAAUGCCACAAAUUUCUUGUUGGAACACGUGCUCACUGCAUUAUCAUUGGUUAAUAAACGAUUAAGUUUCAGAAUAUCACUUGCC